RNAcentral lists this ribosomal RNA (323 nucleotides) under Kluyvera sp. BV36. RNAcentral's name for it is "bacterial SSU rRNA". It matches the Rfam family "Bacterial small subunit ribosomal RNA", at positions 1069 to 1392 of the family's 1533-position model. Lineage: Bacteria; Pseudomonadati; Pseudomonadota; Gammaproteobacteria; Enterobacterales; Enterobacteriaceae. The record is from RNAcentral.
GAAAUGUUGGGUUAAGUCCCGCAACGAGCGCAACCCUUAUCCUUUGUUGCCAGCGGUUCGGCCGGGAACUCAAAGGAGACUGCCAGUGAUAAACUGGAGGAAGGUGGGGAUGACGUCAAGUCAUCAUGGCCCUUACGAGUAGGGCUACACACGUGCUACAAUGGCAUAUACAAAGAGAAGCGACCUCGCGAGAGCAAGCGGACCUCAUAAAGUAUGUCGUAGUCCGGAUUGGAGUCUGCAACUCGACUCCAUGAAGUCGGAAUCGCUAGUAAUCGUAGAUCAGAAUGCUACGGUGAAUACGUUCCCGGGUCUUGUACACACCG